CGCAAUGGGCGAAAGCCUGACGGAGCAAUACCGCGUGAGGGACGAAGGUCUGUGGAUUGUAAACCUCUUUUGUUGGGGAAGAUAAUGACGGUACCCAACGAAUAAGCAUCGGCUAACUCCGUGCCAGCAGCCGCGGUAAGACGGAGGAUGCAAGCGUUAUCCGGAAUUAUUGGGCGUAAAGCGUACGUAGGCUGUUAGAUAAGUCUGUUGUCAAAGCGCGAGGCUUAACCUUGUAAAGGCAAUGGAAACUGUUUGACUAGAGAGAGAAAGGGGCAGGAGGAAUUCCAGGUGUAGCGGUGAAAUGCGUAGAUAUCUGGAAGAACACCAGUGGCGAAAGCGUCCUGCUGGAUCUCAACUGACGCUGAAGUACGAAAGCUA
Molecule: ribosomal RNA, 378 nt
Filed under: uncultured Pseudanabaena sp.
Lineage: Bacteria; Bacillati; Cyanobacteriota; Cyanophyceae; Pseudanabaenales; Pseudanabaenaceae
Description: bacterial SSU rRNA
Rfam family: Bacterial small subunit ribosomal RNA
Source: RNAcentral